Molecule: small nucleolar RNA, 206 nt
Filed under: Carlito syrichta (Philippine tarsier)
Lineage: Eukaryota; Metazoa; Chordata; Mammalia; Primates; Tarsiidae
Description: Small nucleolar RNA U3 (ENSTSYG00000019771.2)
Rfam family: Small nucleolar RNA U3
About the family: Small nucleolar RNAs (snoRNAs) are involved in the processing and modification of rRNA in the nucleolus. There are two main classes of snoRNAs: the box C/D class, and the box H/ACA class.
Source: Rfam by way of RNAcentral
AAGACUAUACUUUCAGGGAUCGUUUCUGUAGUUCAUUACUAGAGAAGUUCCUCUGAACAUGUAGAACACCAGAAAUCACAAGAAGAUGCAGUGUUCUUUCCUGAGUGUGAAGCUGGCACUUGGUGUUUUGCAGUAACUGCUGUUUACCAUUGGCGAUUGUUCUUCUUUUCUUCCAGGAGAAUAAGAGGGAGAGUAUGCUUUUUUGA